This 484-nucleotide ribosomal RNA is filed under the name uncultured bacterium. RNAcentral describes it as "partial 16S ribosomal RNA". It matches the Rfam family "Bacterial small subunit ribosomal RNA", at positions 29 to 507 of the family's 1533-position model. The record is from RNAcentral.
AUUGAACGCUGGCGGCAUGCUUUACACAUGCAAGUCGAACGGCAGCGCGGGCUUCGGCCUGGCGGCGAGUGGCGAACGGGUGAGUAAUGCAUCGGAACGUGCCCAGUAGUGGGGGAUAGCCCGGCGAAAGCCGGAUUAAUACCGCAUACGACCUGAGGGUGAAAGCGGGGGAGCGAAAGGCCUCGCGCUAUUGGAGCGGCCGAUGUCGGAUUAGCUAGUUGGUGGGGUAAAGGCUUACCAAGGCGACGAUCCGUAGCUGGUCGGAGAGGACGACCAGCCACACUGGAACUGGAACACGGCCCAGACUCCUACGGGAGGCAGCAGUGGGGAAUUUUGGACAAUGGGGGCAACCCUGAUCCAGCCAUGCCGCGUGCGGGAAGAAGGCCUUCGGGUUGUAAACCGCUUUUGUUCGGGAAGAAAUCCUCUGGGCUAAUACCCCGGGGGGAUGACGGUACCGGAAGAAUAAGCACCGGCUAACUACGUG